Molecule: transfer-messenger RNA, 362 nt
Filed under: Oscillospiraceae bacterium
Lineage: Bacteria; Bacillati; Bacillota; Clostridia; Eubacteriales; Oscillospiraceae
Rfam family: transfer-messenger RNA
About the family: Bacterial tmRNA, also known as 10Sa RNA or SsrA, is named for its dual tRNA and mRNA-like properties. Its role is to liberate the mRNA from a stalled ribosome.
Source: RNAcentral
GGGUCCGUAACGGUUUCGACGGAGAUUUCGAGCUUCGGUAAGCGGGCGGAUGCGCCUACCAUCCUUAAAAUGGGCAAAAUUGUCUAAUUUAACUGACAACAAUAACGAACUUCCGGUAGCCGCUUAGUGCUGCCCGUCCCGCCCGGGAAUUCCGCGACCCGGGACGGGGCGUCGAUUAGCGGAGAACGUAUGUACGCCGAGCCUCUAUGCGUGCUAUGAACACGAGGCUACCCCGCGCGAACGCGUGACGGCUUGCGCCGCGGGAGGGAACUGGGGUAAGACCCCGGGAUAACCGUCUGCGCCCGGAGAAAACCGCUGGGAGGAGUUUUCGGACGCGGGUUCAACUCCCGCCGGAUCCACCA